This 100-nucleotide transfer RNA is filed under the name Colletotrichum graminicola M1.001. RNAcentral describes it as "tRNA-Leu for anticodon AAG". It matches the Rfam family "tRNA". From Rfam's summary of the family: Transfer RNA (tRNA) molecules are approximately 80 nucleotides in length. The record is from RNAcentral. Lineage: Eukaryota; Fungi; Ascomycota; Sordariomycetes; Glomerellales; Glomerellaceae.
GGAAGGGUGGCCGAGUUGGUUAUGGCGCCAGGUUAAGGUCAGCUUAACAUCUGUUUUCCUGGUGGGGCAACCCGCGCGAGUUCGAGUCUCGUCCCUUUCA